AACAACUGAUGCAACAACCACAGUUGUAACAACAACUGAUGCAACAACCACCACAACAACCACCACAGCCUCCACGCUGCAGACGACCAGUCGGCCCUUCCUGCCGACGAUCGCUCCGUUGAGCAGACUCCCUCUGCAGUUUACUGUUCAUGUCGACUCGCACCACGCCCCUUCAUGUCUUGAUGGUGAUUAUUUCCCCAUUUUUCUGUCUCCAACUCCACGUAACGGGGUCAAUCUGCCGGCGUUUGUCAACCAAACGCUGGAAAUCCGAGUCCGAGCCACUGCAGUGUACACCAGAAUCUCAGACCUGAUUGUUAGUGGACCUGCAGGCACCUCCAAGCACCGAAACUCCACUGAAGAAUUCACCAUCAGAUGGACUCCCACUGAAAACGAAGUCAACGACCAUUUCGCCUUCUGCUUUUAUUUUGAGGCGACAGACAGACACAACAGAGUCUAUCAGUCGGAGCUGCGCUGCGUGACGGCUGACGUCGGACACCAUG
This is a non-coding RNA of Plectropomus leopardus (leopard coralgrouper), 500 nucleotides long. NCBI's taxonomy places the organism in Eukaryota, Metazoa, Chordata, Actinopteri, Perciformes, Serranidae. The record is from RefSeq and is a predicted model, not a curated record.